RNAcentral lists this ribosomal RNA (420 nucleotides) under uncultured bacterium. RNAcentral describes it as "bacterial SSU rRNA". It matches the Rfam family "Bacterial small subunit ribosomal RNA", at positions 355 to 774 of the family's 1533-position model. The record is from RNAcentral.
UAAGGAAUAUUGCUCAAUGGGAGAAAUCCUGAAGCAGCAACGCCGCGUGGAGGAUGAAGGGUCUAUGACUUGUAAACUCCUGUAAAGAAGGAAAAAAUUCCCAUUAGAUGGGAGAUGAUGGUACUUCUGGAGUAAGCCCCGGCUAACUACGUGCCAGCAGCCGCGGUAAUACGUAGGGGGCAAGCGUUGUCCGGAAUUAUUGGGCGUAAAGCGCGCGCAGGCGGCUUAUUAAGUCUGAUGUGAAAGCCCACGGCUCAACCGUGGAGGGCCAUUGGAAACUGGUAGGCUUGAGUGCAGGAGAGGGGAGCGGAAUUCCCGGUGGAGCGGUGAAAUGCGUAGAUAUCGGGAGGAACACCCGUGGCGAAGGCGGCUCGCUGGCCUGUAACUGACGCUGAGGCGCGAAAGCGUGGGGAGCAAACA